This 460-nucleotide ribosomal RNA is filed under the name uncultured bacterium. Its description in RNAcentral is "partial 16S ribosomal RNA". It matches the Rfam family "Bacterial small subunit ribosomal RNA", at positions 338 to 795 of the family's 1533-position model. The record is from RNAcentral.
CCUACGGGAGGCAGCAGUGAGGAAUAUUGGUCAAUGGACGAGAGUCUGAACCAGCCAAGUAGCGUGAAGGAUGACUGCCCUAUGGGUUGUAAACUUCUUUUAUAAAGGAAUAAAACGAGGCACGUGUGCCUUUUUGCAUGUACUUUAUGAAUAAGGAUCGGCUAACUCCGUGCCAGCAGCCGCGGUAAUACGGAGGAUCCGAGCGUUAUCCGGAUUUAUUGGGUUUAAAGGGAGCGUAGAUGGUUUGUUAAGUCAGUUGGAAAAUCUUGCGGUUAACCCGUAAAAUUGCAAUUGAUACUGGCAGUCUUGAGUACAGUUGAGGUAGGAGGAAUUCGUGGUGUAGCGGUGAAAUGCAUAGAUAUCACGCAGAACCCCGAUUGCGAAGGCAGCUUACUAAACUGUGACUGACAUUGAUGCUCGAAAGUGUGGGUAUCAAACAGGAUUAGAUACCCCUGUAGUC